GCGGCCGUGACCCUGCUGGAGUGUGGGGGCAACCUCAAGCCCCCCGGGGGGUCCCUGACGUUGCAGUGCCGAGGGUCCGGGUUUGAUUUUGGCCAUUUUGGGAUGGCCUGGAUCUGCCAGAGACCUGGGCAGGGGCUGGAGUGUGUCAGAACCAUCACCAGCAGUGGUGGCAGCACCUGGUACGCGGAUUCCGUUAAGGGCCGGUUCGGGAUCUCCAGGGACAACGGGCAGAGCUCGGUGACGCUGACCAUGAACAACCUCAAGGAUGAGGAUUCCGGAUCCUAUUUCUGCGCCAAG
This is a non-coding RNA of Melozone crissalis (California towhee), 297 nucleotides long. The record is from the annotation of a RefSeq genome assembly. NCBI's taxonomy places the organism in Eukaryota, Metazoa, Chordata, Aves, Passeriformes, Passerellidae.